This 1425-nucleotide ribosomal RNA is filed under the name Gyrodinium jinhaense. RNAcentral's name for it is "partial large subunit ribosomal RNA". It matches the Rfam family "Eukaryotic large subunit ribosomal RNA", at positions 70 to 1409 of the family's 3401-position model. Lineage: Eukaryota; Dinophyceae; Gymnodiniales; Gymnodiniaceae. The record is from RNAcentral.
AAGGAUUCCCUUAGUAAUGGCGAAUGAACAGGGAUGAGCUCAGCAUUGAAAUCUGGGCCUUGGCCCUGAAUUGUAAUCUCGAGAAGUGCAACCAACAGCGGCGCAGGUGUAAGCCUCUUGGAAAAGAGCACCAGUGAGGGUGAGAGUCCCGUGUGUCACCUGCAGUCCUCUGUGUACGGUGUGCUUUCGAAGAGUCACGUUCCUCGGGCUUGGAGCGCCAAAGGUGGUAAAUUUCAUCUAAAGCUAAAUAUAGGUUUGAGACCGAUAGCAAACAAGUACCAUGAGGGAAAGAUGAAAAGGACUUUGGAAAGAGAGUUAAAAGUGCCUGAAAUCGCUGAAAGGGAAGCGAAUGGGACCAGUGUUUCUUGUGGAGCUUGCUGGGCGUAAUCUGGAUGGAGUUCUGGUGCAGCGCAAGCGUACCUGAGCUUUUUGAAAGUGCGUGCUUGGUGCUGCUCUGCUUGUGUGUCAACGUCGGUUUGGAGAUGUGGAAAACCCGUGGAAAAUGGAUGCCUUCUUACGGGGGGGUGAAUGUUCCUCGUGGAAUUCAUUUCCAAACUGAAAGUCUUGUGUUAAUGUGCACCACCUCAUUCUUUGCUUGCAGCCCUGGGUAAUUCAGCAGGUGCUCUGCUGGCUGUGGGUGUGUUCAUGACACAUCAAUGCUGACAAAAUGGUCUCACUCGACCCGUCUUGAAACACGGACCAAGGAGUCUAACAUAUGUGCAAGUUCCUGGGUGGCUAAACCUGUUGGCGUAAUGAAAGUGACUGCUGGGAUUUCUGCACCAGCAACCGACUGACCAAUUGAGAGAGGUUUGAGUAUGAGCACAUCUGUUAGGACCCGAAAGAUGGUGAACUAUGCCUGAGAAGGGUGAAGUCAGGGGAAACUCUGAUGGAGGCUCAUAGCGAUACUGACGUGCAAAUCGUUCGUCAUACUUGGGUAUAGGGGCGAAAGACUAAUCGAACCAUCUAGUAGCUGGUUCCCUCCGAAGUUUCCCUCAGGAUAGCUGGAGUUGAACAGUUUUAUCAGGUAAAGCNGAAUGAUUAGAGGAAUCGGGGACGCGUUGUCUUCGACCUAUUCUCAAACUUUAAAUGGGUAAGAUCCAGUGGUUACUUGAGUGAACUUCUGGGAUAAAUGACAACUCUAAGUGGGCCAUUUUUGGUAAGCAGAACUGGCGAUGAGGGAUGAACCUAACGUUGGGUUAAGGUGCUUAACUGCUCGCUCAUCAGAUACCAUAAAGGGUGUUGGUUCAUUUUAACAGCAGGACGGUGGUCAUGGAAGUCGAAAUCCGCUAAGGAGUGUGUAACAACUCACCUGCCGAAUGGACUAGCCCCGAAAAUGGAUGGCGCUCAAGCGGGUGACUGACACCCAACCAUUGUUGCAAUUGUGCUGCAUCAAUGAGUAGGAGGGCAUGGGGGUUGUGGUGAAGC